GCUGAGUCUCCAAAGAGCUGGAGCUAUCAAGGCGGAUCAUGUGUCAACUUAUGAAAAAUUUGUACAGACAUAUAGUCCAUCAGGGGAGUAUAUGUUUGAGCUUGAUGAGGAUGAGAUGUUCUACGUGGAUCUGGACAAGAAGGAGACUGUCUGGCAUCUGCCAGAGUUUGGCCGAGCCUUUUCCUUUGAUGCUCAGGGUGGGCUGGCCGACCUUGCUAUAUUGAAGAGCAACUUGAAGAUCAUGAUCCAACGUUCCAACCACACCCAAGCCACCAAUGAGGCCCCUGAAGUGACUGUGUUUCCUAAGGAGCCUGUGGAGCUGGGCCAGCCCAACACCCUCAUCUGCCAUGUCGACAAGUUCUUCCCUCCAGUGCUCAAUGUCACGUGGCUGCGCAAUGGGCAGACGGUCAUUGACGGUGUUGGUGAGAGCAUCUUCCUGCCCAGAACAGAUUAUAAAUUCUACAAGUUCCACUACCUGACCUUCGUGCCCUCAGCAGAGGAUGUCUAUGACUGCAAGGUGGAGCACUGGGGCCUGGAGGAGCCGCUUCUCAAGCACUGGGAGGCCCAGGAGCCAAUCCAGGUGCCUGAGACGACAGAGACUGUGGUCUGUGCUCUAGGCCUGGCAGUGGGCCUGGUGGGCAUCGUUGCUGGCACUGUCCUCAUCAUAAAGGCUCUGCGUUCCAGUAGUGACCCUCGGGACCGGGGGCCUCUGUGAGUUAUUCUGGGGUGGGGAUCUUAGGAUACAGUCAGAGAGAAAGAGGCGGGAGCCUGGGAUGUAUAAGGAAGGGAAGAAUUCAAUUUGAUAAGUGUACGUGGAUCUCUUAAUGGGUUAAAAGCAUUGAGCUGCAUAACAACAACAACGAUAAUAAUAAAUGAUUGAGUAUUUAAUACGAGUCAGGCACUACUCUGAGUGCUUUACAUUUAUUAACUAAUUUUAUCUUCACAAAUACUCUAUAAGGUUGGUGCUAUUAUUGUAAGUAUUUUACAUGUGAGGGAUAUAAGGCACAGAAAUAUUAAGCAACUUGACCAAGGCCACACAGCCAGGAAGUAAUGGAGCUAGUUUUCAAACCCAGGAAGUCUGGAUCCAAGAUUGUUGGCUUAACCACUUAUCCUAUACCAAAAAUCAAACCAAACCCAUUGCUGUCGCGUCGAUUCUGACUCUUAGCAAUCCUAAACCAUACCAAAAACCAAACCCGUUACCGUCGAGUUGAUUCCAACUCAUAGCGAUCCUAUACUCCAUCUUCAUUUUAUGAAGAAAAAGAGCAAGUCCAAACUUUCAAGGAGCCCGUAGUCUGGUAGUGGAGCCAGAUACGUCUUUCAACACAUAAUUGUCACACAGUGUGAUAAAUGCUUAAUAGAGAGUUUGUUUGAUAUCUCCACUGAAUACCACUUGCACUCACUGAACGGCAAGGCUCACAUACAAAUGCUCCUUUGGGGUUCCAUAUUUCCUAUUUAUCAUGGUACUUAAUAUAUUUUAUAUAUUUAUGUUUUUAUAGCUCUCUUCCCAUUAAUGAUCUUUCUGUGAUGAUGACCACAUCUUAUUAUUAUUGUUAUUGUUAAUUUUUAUGCUGCACCUCAAGUGAAGAGGGUUAAGUUGGUCAUACUCCUCACACUAUCAUCACUGGUACCUACAAGUUCUCUUUCUUGAUUUAUUUGCUCCCUUCUAUUCCCAGUUCCCACUGCCGUAUCUAACCUCUUACUCCAACCCUAUAGGUAAACAUUCUAAUGGAUUUGAUGAGUGCCCUUUUACUUGCAUAUCUCCUUGUAUAGCAUAUAGUAUUGUUUAGUGUACAUGUAUUUUUAAUUAACCAAAGUCAUAUUCUAUUAUAGAUCUAAUUCUGUAUUCUAAUCUGUUGCUGCCAACUAGCCCAUAAUCCUACUGUGCACAUCCACUUAUUUAUAUUUCACCUGGGAUAUCUGCAUUGCCUCUAGUUUUUCACUAUGGCAAAUAAUGCUAUGUUCUCAUAUGGACCUGAAUCUCUGGAAUGCAUAUAUCCUAGAAAGGGGUUGCAGGGUCAUUGGGGAUGCAACUCCUUAAUUUGACUAAGUACUGCCCAGCUGCUCACCAGAAUUAAUGUAUAUUUCCUCCAGCAGUACCUGAAAUUUUCUGCAACUCCUAAAUCCACAUCAACAUUGGACAUUAUCCCAUUUUCUAAUUUUUGCCAAUCUCACAUACAUAAAGGAAUAUAUUACUGCAGUUUUAAUUUGCAUUUCUUUAAUUACUUAUGGUUGGACUUUCUUCUGUGUUAGCCACUUGGAAUUCUUGUUCUAUAAAUUGCUGGUUCAUAUCCUUUGCCCAUUUUUCUACUGUGAGAUCUUAUCUUUUUCUUAUUGAUUUGCAGCAGUUCCCUGUAUAGUCUUGCUAGUAGGCCCUUGUCAAUUUUAAGCAUUGCAAAUGCUUUCUCCUAAUCCGACUUCUGGCACCUUCCUCCUUGGUCUCCUUUAUUGAACAGAAAUCUUUAAUAUUUUGUAAUAAAAAUCCAUCAGUAUUUUUAUUUUAUGCUUUUGUUUUGGGGGAUCUGUGUAAGAAGUUCUUUCCCAUGGUGAAGUCUCAAAGAUAUUCUCUUACAAUAUCUUUUGUAGUUUUAAAUUUCACAUUCCGUUCUUCAAUUCAUCUACGAUGCACCUUUGUAUCUGAUGUUAAAUGGAGAUCAAGUUUUAUUCUUCUCUGUAUAGUAGGCCAGUUUUCCCAAAAACUACUAAAUGGUUAACCCUUUUUCUAUAGGUUUCUGAUGGCCCUUUUAUUAUAUAUAUUAAGUUCCCAUUAUAAUGGGUCUGUCUCUGCUUUAUUCCAUUGAUCUAUUUGUCUCUUCUUGUGCCAGUAUCCUAGUGUUUUGACUACUAUGACUUUGUAGUAUGUAUUAGUAUCUAGUAGAACAAGUUUCCUCUCUUUUCUUUUUUGUUGUUGAUUUAGCUAUUUAAGCUAAUUUAUUAUGUCAUAUCUAUUUUAAAUUGUUUAUCAAGUUUCUCAAAAAUUCUAUUUGGAAUUUUUAUUGUGAUAGCAUUGAAAUUAUAGAUUAAUUGGGAAAAAAUUCACAUAUUCAUAAUAUUAAAUAUUAAGCAUGUAAAUCUCUUAAUUUAUUCAGAUUAUUUUCUUAUGUCUUUUAAUAGAAUUUAAAAGUAUCUUCCAUAUGAGUCUUGUGUAUUCUUCAUUCAGAUAAGCCUUUAUAGUAUUUAUUACUGUUGAUGAUAUCAGAUUCAUAACCUUAGUAAAUUUAAGGAGAUAUGAGAUAAUGAGCCCCAGAGUGGGGGAGUCCUAGGUAUCAGAGCACCACUGUUGACCACUCCCUGUAACCGUUCUCAUCAGCUUUUCAUCCCAUCAGAGCUUUAUUGUUAUGCUGAUAUUAUCCUGCCAACACCAUUGGGCUUGGUUGGCUACUGAUUUCUGAUUUACAAAGACACUGAGACAGACAGUGAUUCUCCCAAGGCAGUGUGGGAGCGAGGAAAGAACAAAACUUAAAAACUCUUCACCAAGUCUUACCACUGCUGCAUCUAGCCACAAGCCAAACCAGGCUCCUGCCCCUAUGUUCUCCAAUCCCUUGCCUCAUGCACACUAGUUCACAAUGACCUUUGACCUCUCCAGAUUUUUCUCAUAGUUUUUAUGUUGGUUCCUCAGAUGUAGGCUUUCUUUGUUCUUUUAUAAUUUUCCCAUUGAGGAUUGUGAUGAGGGAGGAGAAAACCAGGAAUUCUUGCUAGUUGGUCAUCUUUUCAUGAAUCAGGAACACCCUUUUUAUCAUCUUUGUACCUGUAAAGCUUAGCAAAUGUCCUUUGUUAUAUAGUAGUUCUUCAACAAAUGUCUACUAAAGUGUUUAGUAUAUUAUUAAUUCAUCUAAUAUAAGUUGUUGAAUACUUCCUUUGUCCUAGGCUCUUUUCUAGGUGCAGAUAAUAUAAUGAUAAACAAACAUUUCCUGUGGCCAGGGAGUAAAAUAAAAGAAAAUGAUUAUUAGAAUACAGUACUGAAAAUGUUGUAAUAAAGGUGUUAACUGGAGCCUGGCAGCACAGAGAAGGUGCAAUGGACAGGAAUUGGGCAAGGUUGAAGAAAGUCCUCUAGUAAGGGUAAAUGCAUAAAUCUUAAGGAAUAAGUACAAUAUAGACAGGAAAACAAAGGAAAGGCAUUCCAGGCAGAAGGAAGAACAUAUAGAAAGAAACAGCAGCUUAAAAGAACAUGAUCCAUGUAAGGAGUUCAUCAUGGCUAUAAAUAGAAUGCACGUUGGGACAUGACAGAAGGCUGAAAAGGUGACAAGAUUUAUGUAAAAUCAGAGGACCUAAGAGACAUCUGAACUCCAGCUGCCCUACAAACUCGAGUCUCAGCUUCCUUUCUCACUUUUUGUGCUCUCCACCCCAAUGACUGACUUACCUGCUGAACCCUUUAAGUCCUGUCCUCUUUUAUGACCAUAAAGCUCCCAGGCCCAGCAAGGUUCCUGGCACUUACACGGUAAUUAAUAAAUGUUGACAUUUUUGCAGCACUGGUGUGUAUAUAAUUCCCUUGCUGGGCUUCCCAUCCCCUUUGAGGAACCCUUUGCUGACCUCUUCUUGAGAAUUCUCUGAGAACAAUAAAUUCUUCAAUAUUUCA
Trichechus manatus latirostris (Florida manatee) is the source of this 4573-nucleotide RNA transcript. It is a transcript of the gene named HLA class II histocompatibility antigen, DP alpha 1 chain-like, with no coding region annotated. The record is from RefSeq and is a predicted model, not a curated record. The transcript is spliced from 5 exons. NCBI's taxonomy places the organism in Eukaryota, Metazoa, Chordata, Mammalia, Sirenia, Trichechidae.